GAUGAACGCUGGCGGUGUGCCUAAUACAUGCAAGUCGAGCGAACAGACGAGGAGCUUACUCCUCUGACGUUAGCGGCGGACGGGUGAGUAACACGUGGAUAACCUACCUAUAAGACUGGGAUAACUUCGGGAAACCGGAGCUAAUACCGGAUAACAUGUUGAACCGCAUGGUUCAACAGUGAAAGUCGGUCUUGCUGUCACUUAUAGAUGGAUCCGCGUCGCAUUAGCUAGUUGGUAAGGUAACGGCUUACCAAGGCAACGAUGCGUAGCCGACCUGAGAGGGUGAUCGGCCACACUGGAACUGAGACACGGUCCAGACUCCUACGGGAGGCAGCAGUAGGGAAUAUUCCGCAAUGGGCGAAAGCCUGACGGAGCAACGCCGCGUGAGUGAAGAAGGUCUUCGGAUCGUAAAACUCUGUUAUUAGGGAAGAACAAAUGUGUAAGUAACUAUGCACGUCUUGACGGUACCUAAACAGAAAGCCACGGCUAACUACGUG
Molecule: ribosomal RNA, 497 nt
Filed under: uncultured bacterium
Lineage: Bacteria
Description: partial 16S ribosomal RNA
Rfam family: Bacterial small subunit ribosomal RNA
Source: RNAcentral